Molecule: long non-coding RNA, 906 nt
Filed under: Fragaria vesca (wild strawberry)
Lineage: Eukaryota; Viridiplantae; Streptophyta; Magnoliopsida; Rosales; Rosaceae
Description: long non-coding RNA (FVES_LNC004870)
Source: RNAcentral
AAGAGCAAAGAAACUAAUUAAAUUCAACGCGUGUCCCACACGUUAAAAUGCUCAAUGAAAUAAAUAACUUCAAUGAUUAUCAUCUUUCAAAAACCAGAUAAUAUGCAAAUCAGUAUGAAACCUCAAAUCCGGAAAUCAUAAAGAAAAUCCAAACUCAAAUCUCAAAUUAUCAAUCCGAGCUCAAAUCCAUAAAUUAUGACCAACAUUUAAUCCAUGCAUCAAUCUCAAAUAAGUUCCAAGAUCAUUUCAUAUACCGAAGUUAUAAUAUAUGCUCGGAAAAUAAAAUACUAAAUUAUAAAAUCUUGCAUGCAUAUUAAUUAAAAACCAAAAUGUCCACUCACAGAUUUAGGCCUAAGGCUGACGAAUUCCAAAUCACUACUCAAGCGAGGUUCCCUUCGUAUCCUGGCACAAUAAAUAUGCUUAGGACCAAACUUAAAUUCUAGAAAAUUAAACAUUUGAAAAUAAACACCAAAAUCUCUUCCGCUUAACCCACUACUCUAACUAGGGUUAAGCUCACCGGAUUUCCACCAAACUCCACCAUAACCUUAAUUCCUCAAUUCUAACAUUUUAAAAUAAAUAUCAAGGAAAUCCAACGGCCGGAUUUUCAUUCUAAUAACCGGCAAAAACCUUAAUCUUUUAAAAUCCCAAACCUUAACAAAACUCCUCCAAAAAUUCCAAACUAUACUUCAUUAGACUCCUCUCAUUAAAACAAACCCAAAAACCUGAAAAUCAACCUCCAAGUGGCGGCGCCGCCGCCUGCUCCGCCGGCAGCGGCGGCCGUACUCUGGCGAUGUCCAAUACCUCCCAAAAUUUAACAGAAUAAUCCUCUCAUCAAGCACAACAACUUUCAUAACUAGCAUUUAGUCCAAUUCUAAGCUUAACUAGGGUAAUCGAAUCAAAACAUCC